Molecule: ribosomal RNA, 700 nt
Filed under: uncultured soil bacterium
Lineage: Bacteria
Description: bacterial SSU rRNA
Rfam family: Bacterial small subunit ribosomal RNA
Source: RNAcentral
UGGCGGCGUGCUUAACACAUGCAAGUCGAGCGAGAGCCAGUCGAGGGGUAACCCUCGGCUGGGGACAGCGGCGAACGGGUGCGUAACACGUGGGCAACCUGCCCCUGACACUGGAUAACCCCGGGAAACCGGAGCUAAUACCGGAUACUCUCGGCCGAUCACAUGGCUGGCCGAGGAAAGGUCCGCUGGUCAGGGAUGGGCCCGCGGCCUAUCAGCUUGUUGGUGAGGUAACGGCCCACCAAGGCGACGACGGGUAGCUGGUCUAAGAGGACGACCAGCCACACUGGAACUGAGAUACGGUCCAGACUCCUACGGGAGGCAGCAGUGGGGAAUAUUGCACAAUGGGCGAAAGCCUGAUGCAGCGACGCCGCGUGAGGGAUGAAGGCCUUCGGGUCGUAAACCUCUUUCGGCAGGGACGAAGCGAUCAGUGACGGUACCUGCAGAAGAAGCCCCGGCUAACUACGUGCCAGCAGCCGCGGUAAGACGUAGGGGGCGAGCGUUGUCCGGAUUCAUUGGGCGUAAAGCGCGCGUAGGCGGCUGCGCAAGUCGGUUGUGAAACCCCGGGGCUCAACCCCGGAACUGCAUCCGAUACUGCGUGGCUAGAGGUAGGUAGGGGAGAUCGGAAUUCCUGGUGUAGCGGUGAAAUGCGCAGAUAUCAGGAGGAACACCGGUGGCGAAGGCGGAUCUCUGGGCCUUACCU